CUUCUAGCUGGUGAUAGAGCGGGACCUUCUUCCUCCUUCGCUCCUGGUUCUCAACAGGACUAGAAUUUUCGGAUCCCUCUGAAACCAAACUCCAUUUUGCAUUUAAUCGAAGCUCUGUUUUUCCUUCCUCCACAGAGUUUGUUGAAUUAAUAACUACAUUUGUACAGUAAUUCCUAUUUAGCUAGGUACCUCUAAUAUUUAUAAAUAUUUGUAAACAUCCGCAAUUACUAUAGGAGUGUUAUGUAUGUAACAAUAACAAUAAUUACUUGUAAACUCUAUUUUGAUAAAUUUGAAUCUAUGGUUGAAAUUAUGAGUUGAAUA
Jatropha curcas is the source of this 321-nucleotide long non-coding RNA. RefSeq lists it as uncharacterized. Lineage: Eukaryota; Viridiplantae; Streptophyta; Magnoliopsida; Malpighiales; Euphorbiaceae. The record is from RefSeq and is a predicted model, not a curated record.